GCUCCCGAGAAAAGGACUGUCCCAUUCGGAAGGUGGCAUGUGCUGCCUACCUGGGCAGCUGCCUUAUUUUACCCCGAUUCUGAAGGCAGCGUGAGAUGUAUCCUUCACGGCGAAGGCAAUCCCAUGAUGCAUUUCACCAGCUCAGAGUUCCAGCGCUCAGAUUUAAAAACAUGGCGGACGGAGCCGGCACUGCGAGGGAGUUUCUGUACAAAUGGAUGAACGUGGGCCGGGGAAGGUGAACUCAGACCGGCUGGAGGCAGCGUUAGCUCCCUUUAUGAAUAUAUAUAUUUUUUCUUUGAAUGUAAUAAAGUUUUCUCUCUUAACAUUA
This is a long non-coding RNA of Astyanax mexicanus (Mexican tetra), 328 nucleotides long. RefSeq lists it as uncharacterized. NCBI's taxonomy places the organism in Eukaryota, Metazoa, Chordata, Actinopteri, Characiformes, Acestrorhamphidae. The transcript is spliced from 2 exons. The record is from RefSeq and is a predicted model, not a curated record.